AUCAUAUCAUUAUUUGUAUCUGUUAUGGCCUUGUGGAAGUGGAAGGUAGGAGUCAGGGCUGGUGCUGAGCCAGGCGCUGCAAUACACGGAGGGGGGUCGGUGGGGGCCAGGGCCAUCCCCAGGGCUGGGCUGGGGGCCCUGCCUGGGAGGAGAGGCCGUGUCCCAGCGGGGCCUGGCCAGGCUCGGCCUGGCGUCCUGGGGCAGGCAAGGGCCUGGGCUGUGCCCUGGGUUGGUGGGUACCGCUGUGGCUGCUGGGGAUGCUCCCCUCUCACUCACUGCUUUCUGUGCCCAUACAGAAAGAGAGACAGAGGAAGUGCCAACACAGAGGUAACCAGGAAAAUUCUAGAGCAGUAUGGGACUUCCGCACGUCUUCACAG
RNAcentral lists this long non-coding RNA (377 nucleotides) under Gallus gallus (chicken). Its description in RNAcentral is "long non-coding RNA NONGGAT006530". Lineage: Eukaryota; Metazoa; Chordata; Aves; Galliformes; Phasianidae. The record is from RNAcentral.